GGUACCUACGGGACGCAGCAGUGGGGAAUAUUGGGCAAUGGGGGAAACCCUGACCCAGCAACGCCGCGUGAAGGAAGAGGGCUUUCGGGUUGUAAACUUCUUUUACCAGGGACGAAGAAAGUGACGGUACCUGGAGGAAAAGCUCCGGCUAACUACGUGCCAGCAGCCGCGGUAAUACGUAGGGAGCGAGCGUUGUCCGGAUUUACUGGGUGUAAAGGGCGUGUAGGCGGAGCUGCAAGUCAGAAGUGAAAUCUCCGGGCUCAACCCGGAAACUGCUUUUGAAACUGUAGCCCUUGGGUGUCGGG
Molecule: ribosomal RNA, 305 nt
Filed under: uncultured bacterium
Lineage: Bacteria
Description: bacterial SSU rRNA
Rfam family: Bacterial small subunit ribosomal RNA
Source: RNAcentral